This 467-nucleotide ribosomal RNA is filed under the name uncultured bacterium. RNAcentral describes it as "partial 16S ribosomal RNA". It matches the Rfam family "Bacterial small subunit ribosomal RNA", at positions 28 to 507 of the family's 1533-position model. The record is from RNAcentral.
GACGAACGCUGGCGGCGUGCUUAACACAUGCAAGUCGAACGGAAAGGCCCUGCUUUUGUGGGGUGCUCGAGUGGCGAACGGGUGAGUAACACGUGAGUAACCUGCCCUUGACUUUGGGAUAACUUCAGGAAACUGGGGCUAAUACCGGAUAGGAGCUCCUGCUGCAUGGUGGGGGUUGGAAAGUUUCGGCGGUUGGGGAUGGACUCGCGGCUUAUCAGCUUGUUGGUGGGGUAGUGGCUUACCAAGGCUUUGACGGGUAGCCGGCCUGAGAGGGUGACCGGCAAAAUGGGGAGGGGGGAAGGGCCAGAAUUCUUAGGGGAGGAAGAGGUGGGGAAAAUUGAAAAAGGGGGGGAGGCGUGAGGCAGAAAGGCGGGGGGGGGGAGGACGGCCUUGGGGUUGUAAACGGCUUUGGCCGGGGAGGAGGGGGGGGGGAGGGAAAUGGGUAAGAAGCACCGGCUAACUACGUG